UGGCGGCGUGCCUAACACAUGCAAGUCGAGCGAGGAGAUCCUUCGGGAUGAUCCUAGCGGCGGACGGGUGAGUAACACGUGGGCAACCUGCCUCAUAGAGAGGAAUAGCCUUCCGAAAGGGAGAUUAAUACCUCAUAACAUUGCAGUUUCGCAUGGAACAGCAAUUAAAGGAGCAAUCCGCUAUGAGAUGGGCCCGCGGCGCAUUAGCUAGUUGGUGAGGUAACGGCUCACCAAGGCGACGAUGCGUAGCCGACCUGAGAGGGUGAUCGGCCACAUUGGGACUGAGACACGGCCCAGACUCCUACGGGAGGCAGCAGUGGGGAAUAUUGCACAAUGGGGGAAACCCUGAUGCAGCAACGCCGCGUGAGUGAUGACGGCCUUCGGGUUGUAAAGCUCUGUCUUCAGGGACGAUAAUGACGGUACCUGAGGAGGAAGCCACGGCUAACUACGUGCCAGCCGCCGC
RNAcentral lists this ribosomal RNA (463 nucleotides) under uncultured bacterium. Its description in RNAcentral is "bacterial SSU rRNA". It matches the Rfam family "Bacterial small subunit ribosomal RNA", at positions 37 to 518 of the family's 1533-position model. The record is from RNAcentral.